Non-coding RNA from Schizosaccharomyces pombe (fission yeast), 561 nucleotides. The record is from the annotation of a GenBank genome assembly. NCBI's taxonomy places the organism in Eukaryota, Fungi, Ascomycota, Schizosaccharomycetes, Schizosaccharomycetales, Schizosaccharomycetaceae.
GUUACGAGGAGAGGGAAGCAUGAAGCAUAUAUAAAGAUCAUAACUACGUAUGAAGAUACGAUGAAAGAAAGGAUCAACAUGGGACGGAACAUUAAGCACGAACAAAUGACCUACCAGUAGCUGUCUUUCUCUCCAAUUCCACAUCGGGCUUGGCCCGGUUCAAAACCUUUUGGAAGUCAGCAACACGCUUACGCAUACGUUGGUGCAUGUAAGCCUUGGAAGCCUUAAUGUGAAAGUGUAGGGUGUUGCGGAAAACCUGGAUAUGAGAUAUGCAAUCUUCACGAUUUUGAGGUGUAAAAUGACGCUCAAAUAAAACGAAUGUUACAAAUCCAAAGUCAUCACCCUUUUGAAUACCCUGAAUAUCACGAAUCUCCAAAGGUGGAUCUCUAUAGGAAAAGAGCACUUGAGGAGCGGUUUGAAUAGCCGGACGGCGACGGGCAUCAACGAAUUCCUGCAAGAAUACCUUGCCAAAGAUGCGAUCAGUCUCUUCACGGAAUUUCGUUGAAAAGACGACUGUAACGCGAUCAUGCUCAGGCCAUAAAACAAUAGUUUCUUCAUCAC